AUUGAACGCUGGCGGAAUGCUUUACACAUGCAAGUCGAACGGCAGCACGGGGGCAACCCUGGUGGCGAGUGGCGAACGGGUGAGUAAUACAUCGGAACGUGCCCGGUCGUGGGGGAUAACGUAGCGAAAGUUACGCUAAUACCGCAUACGAUCUGAGGAUGAAAGCGGGGGACCUUCGGGCCUCGCGCGAUCGGAGCGGCCGAUGUCGGAUUAGGUAGUUGGUGGGGUAAAGGCCUACCAAGCCGACGAUCUGUAGCUGGUCUGAGAGGACGACCAGCCACACUGGGACUGAGACACGGCCCAGACUCCUACGGGAGGCAGCAGUGGGGAAUUUUGGACAAUGGGCGCAAGCCUGAUCCAGCCAUUCCGCGUGCAGGACGAAGGCCUUCGGGUUGUAAACUGCUUUUGUAUGGAACGAAAAGGCUCUGGCUAAUACCUGGGGCUCAUGACGGUACCGUAAGAAUAAGCACCGGCUAACUACGUG
Molecule: ribosomal RNA, 484 nt
Filed under: uncultured bacterium
Lineage: Bacteria
Description: partial 16S ribosomal RNA
Rfam family: Bacterial small subunit ribosomal RNA
Source: RNAcentral